This 157-nucleotide ribosomal RNA is filed under the name uncultured bacterium. RNAcentral describes it as "partial 16S ribosomal RNA". It matches the Rfam family "Bacterial small subunit ribosomal RNA", at positions 355 to 509 of the family's 1533-position model. The record is from RNAcentral.
UGAGGAAUAUUGGUNAAUGGCGGAAGCCUGAACCAGCCAAGUCGCGUGAGGGAAGAAGGCCCUGCGGGUCGCAGACCUCUUUGGACGGGGAGCAAGGCCGCGGACGUGUCCGCGGAAGGAGAGUACCCGUAGAACAAGCAUCGGCUAACUACGUGCC